GCUAACGUUAUUCGACUUUUUCCUGUAGAAUGUUAGUGAUUUUUCUUGCAUAAGAAAUAAUAAGUGAAAAAAAAAAAGGAAUUCUUGAAGUCUACAGUAGCCUAAUAAUAAAAACAAGGCGUUGUAAUCACCCAAUAGCCUACCAUGAAACAAACUUAUUCGGCUGAUCGUUUUCAAUUAUUUCGGUUGUUAGAAAGUCGUAGCAUAUUACAACAAAACCUGUCGAGUGCCCGUUGCUGCUCAAGAUAUAACUCAUGUUACCCAUGUCCAAGAAUCUCCCAGUAAUAUAAAGCUUCUGUCGGAAUUUUUUUUAUUUAGAAUUAAAAACAAAUAAAAAAUUCAGGACGAAGGGGAAGGAGCAGUCAAAAGAAUUUCAGGAUGCCCAUCAUUAUUCAUGGAGAUUCUACAACGUAUAGCUUAUAGACUCAAUUCGUUCAAGGCCUAUGCACUCAUUGUUUCUCAAUGGCUAUACCUGGAUUAUUUACUAUCCAUAUAUCCAAUAACUAGACUAUUCAAUGUUGUAAAAUUAGCAGACCACGGUUUAUCUAUGUGUUUGGUUACACUGCUACCCUCUAGUAGCGACCAGACUAUGUAAAUAAAGUGGACAGUAUAGAAGGUAAGUCUAUAGGUUAUUUCAUAAAUUUACCCAAUAACCAUAAAUUUUACAACCUAAACUGCAUACACUAAUAUGUGGAAAGCCAAAUCAAAUCAAAGUUGUGGUUUAAGGUAAUAGACAAAUGUAGCCUACUCCGACUGAAGCCAUUACCGAGUUAAUAAAUGAAUCUUUUUGUA
This is a long non-coding RNA of Daphnia magna, 792 nucleotides long. RefSeq lists it as uncharacterized. The transcript has 3 exons. The record is from RefSeq and is a predicted model, not a curated record. NCBI's taxonomy places the organism in Eukaryota, Metazoa, Arthropoda, Branchiopoda, Diplostraca, Daphniidae.